CAGUCGCCGCGGUAAUACGAGGGGUGCAAGCGUUAUUCGGAUUGAUUGGGUGUAAAGGGUGUGCAGACGGCUUAUUAAGUCACUUGUUAAAUUCUUCGGCCUAACUGAAGGUCUGCAAGUGAUACUGAUGAGCUAGAGGGUGGAAGAGAGAAGUGGAAUUCUCGGAGUAGCGGUAAAAUGCGUAGAUCUCGAGAGGAACACCAAUGGCGAAGGCAGCUUCUUGGUCCAUUCCUGACGUUCAUACACGAAAGCGUGGGGAGCAAACAGGAUUAGAUACCCCCGUAGUCCCUGUCUCUUAUAA
RNAcentral lists this ribosomal RNA (301 nucleotides) under uncultured bacterium. RNAcentral describes it as "partial 16S ribosomal RNA". It matches the Rfam family "Bacterial small subunit ribosomal RNA", at positions 509 to 809 of the family's 1533-position model. The record is from RNAcentral.